RNAcentral lists this ribosomal RNA (446 nucleotides) under uncultured bacterium. Its description in RNAcentral is "bacterial SSU rRNA". It matches the Rfam family "Bacterial small subunit ribosomal RNA", at positions 331 to 794 of the family's 1533-position model. The record is from RNAcentral.
CCAGACUCCUACGGGAGGCAGCAGUGGGGAAUAUUGCACAAUGGGGGAAACCCUGAUGCAGCGACGCCGCGUGAGUGAAGAAGUAUUUCGGUAUGUAAAGCUCUAUCAGCAGGGAAGAUAAUGACGGUACCUGACUAAGAAGCCCCGGCUAACUACGUGCCAGCAGCCGCGGUAAUACGUAGGGGGCAAGCGUUAUCCGGAUUUACUGGGUGUAAAGGGUGCGCAGGUGGCAGGGCAAGUCAGAUGUGAAAGCCCGGGGCUCAACCCCGGUAUUGCAUUUGAAACUGUCCGGCUAGAGUGCAGGAGAGGUAAGCGGAAUUCCUAGUGUAGCGGUGAAAUGCGUAGAUAUUAGGAGGAACACCAGUGGCGAAGGCGACUUUCUGGACUGUACCUGACGCUGAGGCGCGAAAGCGUGGGUAGCGAACGGGAUUAGAUACCCCCGUAUU